RNAcentral lists this transfer RNA (78 nucleotides) under Planctomycetota bacterium. Its description in RNAcentral is "Planctomycetes bacterium tRNA-Gly". It matches the Rfam family "tRNA". Rfam says of the family: Transfer RNA (tRNA) molecules are approximately 80 nucleotides in length. Lineage: Bacteria; Pseudomonadati; Planctomycetota. The record is from RNAcentral.
GCGUGAAUAGCUCAGACAGGACAGAGCACCUGCCUUCCAAGCAGGGGGUCGAGGGUUCGAAUCCCUCUUUGCGCUCAA